UGCGGGGUGGAGCAGUCUGGUAGCUCGUCGGGCUCAUAACCCGAAGGUCGUUGGUUCAAAUCCGGCCCCCGCAUCCA
This 77-nucleotide transfer RNA is filed under the name Acinetobacter baumannii. Its description in RNAcentral is "tRNA-Met". It matches the Rfam family "tRNA". From Rfam's summary of the family: Transfer RNA (tRNA) molecules are approximately 80 nucleotides in length. Their secondary structure includes four short double-helical elements and three loops (D, anti-codon, and T loops). Lineage: Bacteria; Pseudomonadati; Pseudomonadota; Gammaproteobacteria; Moraxellales; Moraxellaceae. RNAcentral also lists the same sequence under 10 other names. The record is from RNAcentral.